UCUACAGCCAACAGUCAGCACGAACAGAAUUACAGAUUAAGGUGAGUUACUUUCACCAAGGAGCAGAGGAGAAAAGGAGAGGAGAAGUGUGGAGGUUAUGGAGACAGAAGGAAAGGAGGCUGGGCAUCAGGAUGUCUACGAAAGGCAUCAGGAUGGUGUCCCACUGGAAACAAUGUCCAUCAGACAACAGGCGAACGCCCACAAAAAGUUUCAGCCCAAGGAACAGGAGAUGAGAGAUACCUACGAAAGCCUCGUAAGCGCUUUCAUGGCUCACUUAGAGGCCCAUAGCGGGCACUGUGAGGUCACCGCCCAGGACACACUGCCACGAUUCACUUCGGAUCAACAUACCCAUUAUCAAAUGGGUGGAAACAUCCAGAAGGGAAAUCAUCUGGUUAUGGAGUUUUUUAAUGGGAAGAGCUUGCAAGGUUACUCCAGAGCGAAGGUGGAGAGCGACCCCUUCAUGAGGAUGGAGAUGAACAAGUGGAGAGCAGAGAUAGAGAGAAAGAGGGAGAUGGAGAGAGAAAGAAUGGAGCUGGAGAGAAAAGCGAAGAAGGUGGACAGACAGGAGAAGGAAGUGAAACUAAUGAGAGAUGAGAUUCUAAGAAAGGAGGAAGUGGUGAGGAGGAGAGCAGCGAUGGAGAGGGAGAGACAGGCGAUAGAGAGAAACAGACAGGAGAUUGAGAAAGUGAGAGUGGAGGCAAAGCAAAAAAGAGAGACACAGGAAAAAAUGAUAGAGCAGAUGGAGAGAACGUUAGCAGAGAUCGUGAGAAUAUGGAGGGAUAAGGAGCUCCCAAUGGACCAAAAGAAAAAGCAAACAAAAAAUGAAAAGGAACAUGCAUGGCUUUUGGAGAGGAGGAGUGCAGAGAUGGAAAGAUACAAAGAAAUGGAGAGGGAGAGACAGACAAUAGAGAGAAGACAGAAUAUUGAGAAAGUGAGAGUCGAGACAGAGCAAAAAAAAGAAGAACAGGAAAGAAGGAUAGAGAUGGAGAGAGCUAAAGCAGAGAUGGUGAGAAAGAGAGAGGAGAUUAAGAAUGUGAGAGUGGAGACAGAGCAAAAAAGACAAGAACAGGAAAAAAGGAUGGAGGAGAUGAUGAUAGCAGAGAUGGUGAGAAAGAAACAGAUGAAGCAAAAAAGUGAGGAAGUAAAAAUGGAAAUACACAAAGAAAUGGAGAAGGAGAGACAUGAAGACAAGAGGCAAAAAGGAAAGGAGAGACAAGAGGGUGGUGAUAAUUCAGGAAAAGAAGAGAAGGAGAAGAAGGAGGGUGAGAAAGUGAAAGAGCCACAAACGAGAGAUGAGAGGAACACAGAUAUGCUGCGGAAAAUAGAGGAGGAGACCUCCCACCUGUGGAAGUCCAUGGGACUAUCCUUUGAAGACACUGAGGAUGGAUCAGAAGAAGACUGGAAGGAAACUGAGGAGGCCAGUGUAGACCAAGACUUGCUCUUCCUGAAGGACAAAGGAAAGACUGAAAUAAAUAGUGGAAAAAAAAGGAGAUUGCAAGAGGAGAACAGAUCAAGACAGCUAGAAGUGGAGAGACAGAGAGAAAUGAAAACUGUGAAAGAAAAGGAGAGCAAGAGGAAAACCAUGAUGGAAAAACUGAAAGAGGACGAAGGGAGGAAGAGAGGGAUGGAAGCAGAAAUGGAGAGAAAGGAGCAGGAGGAGAGGCUGAGAGAAAAAGAAAGGGCCAAACUAAGAGAAGAGGAGAGAAAGAAAAAAGAGAUGCAAGAGAAGACAAUGAGAGAGCUGGAGCAGAUAACACAAAGAGAGAUGGAGGAAAAGGGGAAGAUGGACCAAAAGAAAAGGCGGACAAAAAAUGAAAAGGAACAUGCAUGGCUACAGGAAAAACACAACAAAGAGAAGGAGGAUGAGAAUCCUUGUAACAGGGAUUGCAGUGACUCCAAGACUGUGACUAAUUCAAAUAGUUUGUGGAUGCAUGAGGCCAAGAGCCCAAAGCUGUCAGUCAACAAUGUAUGGACGAUCCAGCAAUGUGAUAAUACAGAGACUGAUAAUGUCAAACAAGGUCAUUCUGAGGUAGGAGACACACUUGUGAUGACACUCAGUAAUGAUGAUAUGAAUACAUGGACCCAGCUAAAGGCAAAAACAGAUGAAGAGGACGCACAGAGAGAGAAACAGAGGCAGAUGGAGGAAAAGAGGAUGAGAGAGGAGGACAGUGGAGAAAAGAAAGAAGAGAGAACACAGAGAGAGAUGGUAGCACAGACAGAAAACAAGACACCCAGGAUGAGCAGAGAAUUAGAAAUCGGCCAAAAGAUAGAGGAGGAGAAAGUAGCACAGCAGGAGCAAAAAGAGGACGAGAGGAGAAAGAUAGAGAUUGAGGAGGAGAAGGCAAGAGAGGAGAGAAAAGUGAGAGAAAGGGAGGAGAUGAGAAAGACUGAAGAGGUGACGAACAGGAGGGUGGAGGCUCUGUCAGGAGACAGCGAUGACAGCGACGGGGCGACUGACUCCGAUGACUUGUGGGAGGAUGAGUUGGAGAGACAGGAAACACAGAGAAAGAGAAAGGAGAUUGAGAAAGUGAGAGUUGAGACAGAGCGAAAAAAAGAACAGGAAAAAAGGAUGGAAGAGAAGAUGAUAGUAGAGAUGGUGAGAAAGAAAGAGGAGAUGGAGAGAGCAGCACAGAAGGAGCAAAAAGUGGACGAGAGGAGAAAGAUAGAGAUUGACGAGGAGAAAGCAAGAGAGGAGGAGAGAAAAGUGAGAGAAAGGGAGGAGAUGAGAAAGACUAAAGAGGUGACGAACAGGAAGGGGGAGGCUCUGUCAGGAGACAGCGAUGACAGCGACGGGGCGACUGACUCCGAUGACUUGUGGGAGGAUGAGUUGGAGAGACAGGAAACACAGAGAAAGAGAAAGGAGAUUGAGAAAGUGAGAGUUGAGACAAAGCGAAAAAGAGAACAGGAAAAAAGGAUGGAAGACAUGGAGAUAACUAAAGCAGAGAUGGUGAGAAAGAAAGAAGAGGAUAGGCUGAGAGAAAAAGAAAGGGCCAAACUAAGAGAAGAGGAGAGAAAGAAAAAAGAAAUGCAAGAGAAGACAAUGAGAGAGCUGGAGCAGAUAAGACGAAGAGAGAGGGAGGAGAAGGGGAAGAAAGCCAAAGUGGCCAAGAAAUUGCCCCAGGCACAUAACAGCGAUGUCAUUGACAUAGAGAGCUUGAGUGAUGAAGAUAUGUGGAAGGAUGAGGAGCUCCCAAUGGACCAAAAGAAAAGGCGGACAAAAAAUGAAAAGGAACAUGCAUGGCGACAGGGAAAACACAACAAAGAGAAGGAGGAUGAGAAUCCUUGUAACAGGGAUUGCAGUGACUCCAAGACUGUGACUAAUUCAAAUAGUUUGUGGAUGCAUGAGGCCAAGAGCCCAAAGCUGUCAGUCAACAAUGUAUGGACGAUCCAGCAAUGUGAUAAUACAGAGACUGAUAAUGUCAAACAAGGUCAUUCUGAGGUAGGAGACACACUUGUGAUGACACUCAGUAAUGAUGAUAUGAAUACAUGGACCCAGCUAAAGGCAAAAACAGAUGAAGAGGACGCACAGAGAGAGAAACAGAGGCAGAUGGAGGAAAAGAGGAUGAGAGAGGAGGACAGUGGAGGAAAGAAAGAAGAGAGAACACAGAGAGAGAUGGUAGCACAGACAGAAAACAAGACACCCAGGAUGAGCAGAGAAUUAGAAAUCGCCCAAAAGUUAGAGGUGGAGAAAGCAGCACAGCAGGAGCAAAAAGAGGACGAGAGGAGAAAGAUAGAGAUUGACGAGGAGAAAGCAAGAGAGGAGGAGAGAAAAGUGAGAGAAAGGGAGGAGAUGAGAAAGACUAAAGAGGUGACGAACAGGAAGGGGGAGGCUCUGUCAGGAGACAGCGAUGACAGCGACGGGGCGACUGACUCCGAUGACUUGUGGGAGGAUGAGUUGGAGAGACAGGAAACACAGAGAAAGAGAAAGGAGAUUGAGAAAGUGAGAGUUGAGACAAAGCGAAAAAGAGAACAGGAAAAAAGGAUGGAAGACAUGGAGAUAACUAAAGCAGAGAUGGUGAGAAAGAAAGAAGAGGAUAGGCUGAGAGAAAAAGAAAGGGCCAAACUAAGAGAAGAGGAGAGAAAGAAAAAAGAAAUGCAAGAGAAGACAAUGAGAGAGCUGGAGCAGAUAAGACGAAGAGAGAGGGAGGAGAAGGGGAAGAAAGCCAAAGUGGCCAAGAAAUUGCCCCAGGCACAUAACAGCGAUGUCAUUGACAUAGAGAGCUUGAGUGAUGAAGAUAUGUGGAAGGAUGAGGAGCUCCCAAUGGACCAAAAGAAAAGGCGGACAAAAAAUGAAAAGGAACAUGCAUGGCGACAGGGAAAACACAACAAAGAGAAGGAGGAUGAGAAUCCUUGUAACAGGGAUUGCAGUGACUCCAAGACUGUGACUAAUUCAAAUAGUUUGUGGAUGCAUGAGGCCAAGAGCCCAAAGCUGUCAGUCAACAAUGUUUGGACGAUCCAGCAAUGUGAUAAUACAGAGACUGAUAAUGUCAAACAAGGUCAUUCUGAGGUAGGAGACACACUUGUGAUGACACUCAGUAAUGAUGAUAUGAAUACAUGGACCCAGCUAAAGGCAAAAACAGAUGAAGAGGAUGCACAGAGAGAGAAACAGAGGCAGAUGGAGGAAAAGAGGAUGAGAGAGGAGGACAGUGGAGGAAAGAAAGAAGAGAGAACACAGAGAGAGAUGGUAGCACAGACAGAAAACAAGACACCCAGGAUGAGCAGAGAAUUAGAAAUCGCCCAAAAGAUAGAGGAAAGAAAAAAAAAAGAGAUGGAGAAAGCAGCACAGCAGGAGCAAAAAGAGGACGAGAGGAGAAAGAUAGAGAUUGACGAGGAGAAGGCAAGAGAGGAGAGAAAAGUGAGAGAAAGGGAGGAGAUGAGAAAGACUGAAGAGGUGAUGAACAGGAGGGUGGAGGCUCUAUCAAGAGACAGCGAUGACAGCGACGGGGCAACUGACUCCGAUGACUUGUGGGAGGAUGAGUUGGAGAGACAGGAAACCGAGAGAAAGAGAAAGGAGAUUGAGAAAGUGAGAGUUGAGACCGAGCGAAAAAGAGAACAGGAAAAAAGGAUGGAGAAGAUGGAGAUAACUAAAGCAGUGAUGGAGAGAAAGGAACAGGAGGGGAGGCUGAGAGAAAAAGAAAGGGCCAAACUAAGAGAAGAGGAGAUAAAGAAAAAAGAGAUGCAAGAGAAGACAAAGAGAGAGCUGGAGAAGGGGAAAAAAGCCAAAGUGGCCAAGAAAUUGCCCCAGGCACAUAACAGCGAUGACAUUGACAUAGAGAGCUUGAGUGAUGAAGAUAUGUGGAAGGAUGAGGAGCUCCCAAUGGACCAAAAGAAAAGGCAGGAGGAGAAGGCAAGAGAGGAGGAGAGAAAAGUGAGAGAAAGAGAGGAGAUGAGAAAGAUUGCAGAGGAGAUGGAAAGAAGGUGGAAGGCUAUACCAGGAUACAGCGAUGACAGGGACGGGGAGACUGCCUCCGAUGACUUGUGGAUGGAUGAGGUGGAGAAGAGGCGGCAAGUGGAGGUCAGAAACCCCCAAGACAAACCUCAGGAAGAGGGGGAGAGAGGACACACCCAGCCUGGAAGUGCCCAAGUAAACGUAGAGCAGAAAAAGAAAGGACCAUCUGUGUUGAAGUGGGUGAAGAAGAGACUGAGUUUUGGGACCACAAAAGUGAAACAGAUGCGUAUAGCAAUUAUACCUGUGUGUGUGUCUACUCCGUUACAGUGAUAUGGACACACAAAGACACAUAUGGACAAUGAAUGGGAAGGAACGGAAUCAGAGUUUCCAUAAAUCUGUCACAUCCAUAUCAUCUUCCCAUCUCACAUCCUACAUAUCAUCUUCCUAUCUCAGUGGACAGGAAAAUAAAACAUUUUGGAGAAACACACACACAUGCAUGCAAUACAAU
Molecule: long non-coding RNA, 5897 nt
Organism: Clupea harengus (Atlantic herring)
Lineage: Eukaryota; Metazoa; Chordata; Actinopteri; Clupeiformes; Clupeidae
Source: Ensembl